UUACCGAAUGCAAUUGAGGGCAAGUCUGGUGCCAGCAGCCGCGGUAAUUCCAGCUCCAAUAGCGUAUAUUAAAGUUGUUGCAGUUAAAAAGCUCGUAGUUGAAGUUCUGAUUGCUCAGGUUUCCAGCCUUAGGCGGAGAUACUGACAGUCAUCCGCUUGCAAACAUAUGUUCGAUCUUCACCGGUUGGCUAUGUGAGUAAGCACUUUACCUUGAGAAAAACAGAGUGUUCCAGGCAGGUUUGUCCGGGAUGCAUUAGCAUGGAAUAAUAGAACAUGACUGAAGUCGAUUUUAUUGGUUUAAGGCUUUAGUAAUGAUUAAUAGGAACAGUCGGGGGCAUUCGUACUCAGCAGUCAGAGGUGAAAUUCUAAGAUUUGCUGAAGACGAACUAAUGCGAAAAGCAUUUGCCAAGGAUGUUUUCAUUAAUCAAGAACGAAAGUUAGGG
Molecule: ribosomal RNA, 443 nt
Filed under: uncultured eukaryote
Lineage: Eukaryota
Description: SSU rRNA
Rfam family: Eukaryotic small subunit ribosomal RNA
Source: RNAcentral